UACAGAGGUCUCAAGCGUUGUUCGGAUUCAUUGGGCGUAAAGGGUGCGUAGGCGGCGCGGUAAGUCGGGUGUGAAAUUUCGAGGCUUAACUUCGAAACUGCAUUCGAUACUGCCGUGCUUGAGGACUGGAGAGGAGACUGGAAUUUACGGUGUAGCGGUGAAAUGCGUAGAUAUCGUAAGGAAGACCAGUGGCGAAGGCGGGUCUCUGGACAGUUCCUGACGCUGAGGCGCGAAAGCCAGGGGAGCAAACGGG
RNAcentral lists this ribosomal RNA (253 nucleotides) under uncultured bacterium. Its description in RNAcentral is "partial 16S ribosomal RNA". It matches the Rfam family "Bacterial small subunit ribosomal RNA", at positions 524 to 776 of the family's 1533-position model. The record is from RNAcentral.